Non-coding RNA from Canis lupus familiaris (dog), 105 nucleotides. NCBI's taxonomy places the organism in Eukaryota, Metazoa, Chordata, Mammalia, Carnivora, Canidae. The record is from Rfam.
GCUAGCUUUGGCAGAGUGUACACUAAUGUGGUAAUGAUACAGAGAAGAUUAGCAUGGCCCCUGUGGAGGGAUGACAUGCAAAUUCGUGAAGUGUUCCUAUUUAAA